RNAcentral lists this ribosomal RNA (207 nucleotides) under uncultured bacterium. RNAcentral describes it as "partial 16S ribosomal RNA". It matches the Rfam family "Bacterial small subunit ribosomal RNA", at positions 568 to 774 of the family's 1533-position model. The record is from RNAcentral.
CGUGUAGGCGGUUCGGUAAGUGGGAUGUGAAAUGCCCGGGCUCACCCCGGGACCUGCAUCCCAUACUGCUGAGCUUGAGUACAGGAGAGGGUGGGGGAAUUCCUGGUGUAGCGGUGAAAUGCGUAGAUAUCAGGAGGAACACCGGUGGCGAAGGCGCCCACCUGGCCUGCUACUGACGCUGAUGCGCGAAAGCUAGGGGAGCAAACG